This 253-nucleotide ribosomal RNA is filed under the name uncultured bacterium. RNAcentral describes it as "partial 16S ribosomal RNA". It matches the Rfam family "Bacterial small subunit ribosomal RNA", at positions 524 to 776 of the family's 1533-position model. The record is from RNAcentral.
GACGAAGGGGGCUAGCGUUGUUCGGAAUUACUGGGCGUAAAGCGAGUGUAGGUGGUUGUCCAAGUUGGAUGUGAAAGCCUUGAGCUCAACUCAAGAAAUGCAUUCAGGACUGGGCGACUAGAGGACCGGAGAGGAUAGUGGAAUUCCCAGUGUAGUGGUGAAAUACGUAGAGAUUGGGAAGAACACCAGUGGCGAAGGCGGCUAUCUGGACGGUUUCUGACACUAAGACUCGAAAGCGUGGGGAGCAAACAGG